This 964-nucleotide long non-coding RNA is filed under the name Octopus vulgaris (common octopus). The record is from RNAcentral. Lineage: Eukaryota; Metazoa; Mollusca; Cephalopoda; Octopoda; Octopodidae.
GCCGACUCACUCACUACCUAUGUAUCUCUCUAUCUCUCUAUUUCACUCCUCCUCCUCCUCUCUCUCACUCUAUAAUUCCACACUCCCACUCACUCACUCACUCAAUUUUUUCUCUCACACAAUUACAUUCACCACACAACUAAGAUGUGAAACUAAUUACUUCCUUUUAAUCAAACCCAACGCUCUUUCUCACCAUAAAUAUUGUUUGUGUUGGUUGACUUCUCAACAAAGCUAGUCACAUCCACACACAAAUCAUACAUCAACGCAUAUAGACACAUAUAGAAAUAUAUGUGAUAUAUAUAUAUAUAUAUAUAUAUACACACGCAUCUGUAUAAAUUCACAUUUCUAUAUAUACACAAAAACUCACGUUUUUACAUUCAUCUCUCCCUGCCUCUCUCUCUCUCUCUCUUCAUAUAUAUAUAUAUAAAUAUAUAUAUAUAUUUAUAUUUAUCCGGACUAUGAGAGUGUAGGCUUGUUAGGUUUUCUUCUUUUGUGCAUGAUUUCAUUUAGUAAAAAGAAGCCUGACUUUUUUUUGUCUUGCGGGGGAGAAGCAGCGAUUCCUUCCCUCCACACACAACACACAGGCACACACACGACAUUAGGAAAUCGGUCUGUGGAAGAACCACCACCACAAAGAAGUGGAGAAGAAGAAGACUAAGCUAAAUGGCUUGUUUGCGCUGCUUCUCAGCUCCAAUGGAUAGUUUGAGUCGGUAGGAGAGUGGAUACAAGAAAGGCUGAGAGCACCAGGUUGUUACCUUAAUUAGGAUUGCUAACCCACUAAUAACCUACCUGUCAACCUGGCCACCUACCACAUAUCAUUGUAAGUUUUACCAUUUUUCUUUUUGCAUUUGCUCUCCCUAUUUUUCACGUUUUCACUUUUGUUUAUAUUAUAUAUUAUUAUUAUUAUUAUUAUUAUUGUUGUGGUUUUUUAAAAAUAUUUUUUUCUUUUCAGCUUAUAUCAUCA